UGGCUCAGGACGAACGCUGGCGGCGUGCCUAAUACAUGCAAGUCGAACGAGUUUUCUUUUAAUGAUCAAGGUGCUUGCACCAAGAGAUUUAAAAGAAAACGAGUGGCGGACGGGUGAGUAACACGUGGGUAACCUACCCUAAAGUGGGGGAUAACAUUUGGAAACAGAUGCUAAUACCGCAUAAUAUUAAAAACCACAUGGUUUUUAAUUGAAAGACGGCCUUUGGCUGUCACUUAAGGAUGGACCCGCGGCGUAUUAGCUAGUUGGUGAGGUAACGGCUCACCAAGGCGAUGAUACGUAGCCGACCUGAGAGGGUGAUCGGCCACAUUGGGACUGAGACACGGCCCAAACUCCUACGGGAGGCAGCAGUAGGGAAUCUUCCACAAUGGACGAAAGUCUGAUGGAGCAACGCCGCGUGAGUGAAGAAGGUUUUCGGAUCGUAAAACUCUGUUAUUGGAGAAGAACGUAUUUGGUAGUAACUGGCCAGAUAGUGACGGUAUCCAAUCAGAAAGCCACGGCUAACUACGUGCCAGCAGCCG
Molecule: ribosomal RNA, 539 nt
Filed under: Lapidilactobacillus dextrinicus
Lineage: Bacteria; Bacillati; Bacillota; Bacilli; Lactobacillales; Lactobacillaceae
Description: bacterial SSU rRNA
Rfam family: Bacterial small subunit ribosomal RNA
Source: RNAcentral